Molecule: ribosomal RNA, 526 nt
Filed under: uncultured bacterium
Lineage: Bacteria
Description: bacterial SSU rRNA
Rfam family: Bacterial small subunit ribosomal RNA
Source: RNAcentral
UGGGGAAUCUUGCACAAUGGGCGAAAGCCUGAUGCAGCGACGCCGCGUGCGAGAUGAAGGCCUUCGGGUUGUAAACCGCUUUCAGCAGGGACGAGGCGAAAGUGACGGUACCUGCAGAAGAAGCCCCGGCUAACUACGUGCCAGCAGCCGCGGUAAUACGUAGGGGGCAAGCGUUAUCCGGAUUCAUUGGGCGUAAAGCGCUCGUAGGCGGUCUGUUAGGUCGGGAGUUAAAUCCGGGGGCUCAACCCCCGCUCGCUCUCGAUACCGGCAGACUUGAGUUUGGUAGGGGAAGGUGGAAUUCCUAGUGAAGCGGUGGAAUGCGCAGAUAUUAGGAAGAACACCAGUGGCGAAGGCGGCCUUCUGGGCCAUAACUGACGCUGAGGAGCGAAAGCUAGGGGAGCAAACAGGAUUAGAUACCCUGGUAGUCCUAGCCGUAAACGAUGGACACUAGGUGUGGGGGAGUAUUUCUUCCGUGCCGCAGCUAACGCAUUAAGUGUCCCGCCUGGGGAGUACGGCCGCAAGGCUA